RNAcentral lists this ribosomal RNA (164 nucleotides) under uncultured bacterium. RNAcentral's name for it is "partial 16S ribosomal RNA". It matches the Rfam family "Bacterial small subunit ribosomal RNA", at positions 355 to 511 of the family's 1533-position model. The record is from RNAcentral.
UAGGGAAUCUUCCACAAUGGGCGCAAGCCUGAUGGAGCAACGCCGCGUGUGUGAUGAAGGCUUUCGGGUCGUAAAGCACUGUUGUAUGGGAAGAACAGCUAGAAUAGGAAAUGAUUUUAGUUUGACGGUACCAUACCAGAAAGGGACGGCUAAAUACGUGCUAG